UGGGGAAUAUUGGGCAAUGGACGCAAGUCUGACCCAGCAACGCCGCGUGAAGGAAGAAGGCUUUCGGGUUGUAAACUUCUUUUGUCAGGGAAGAGUAGAAGACGGUACCUGACGAAUAAGCCACGGCUAACUACGUGCCAGCAGCCGCGGUAAUACGUAGGUGGCAAGCGUUGUCCGGAUUUACUGGGUGUAAAGGGCGUGUAGCCGGGUCGGUAAGUCAGAUGUGAAAUCCACGAGCUCAACUCGUGAACUGCAUUUGAAACUGCUGAUCUUGAGUGUCGGAGAGGUAAUCGGAAUUCCUAGUGUAGCGGUGAAAUGCGUAGAUAUUAGGAAGAACACCAGUGGCGAAGGCGGAUUACUGGACGAUAACUGACGGUGAGGCGCGAAAGCGUGGGGAGCAAACAGG
RNAcentral lists this ribosomal RNA (406 nucleotides) under uncultured prokaryote. RNAcentral describes it as "bacterial SSU rRNA". It matches the Rfam family "Bacterial small subunit ribosomal RNA", at positions 355 to 776 of the family's 1533-position model. The record is from RNAcentral. RNAcentral also lists the same sequence under 1 other name.